Molecule: small nuclear RNA, 18 nt
Filed under: Arabidopsis thaliana (thale cress)
Lineage: Eukaryota; Viridiplantae; Streptophyta; Magnoliopsida; Brassicales; Brassicaceae
Description: snRNA_10399
Source: RNAcentral
UGCCACACCUCUGAGCUC